RNAcentral lists this microRNA precursor (97 nucleotides) under Marmota monax (woodchuck). The record is from RNAcentral. Lineage: Eukaryota; Metazoa; Chordata; Mammalia; Rodentia; Sciuridae.
AGUAGAAUUGCUGGGUCAUAUGGGAACUCUGUUUAAUUUUAGGAGGACUUGCCAGACAGUUUUCAAAACAGCAGCAUAUUACAUUCCUAUCAGCAAU